UCGUAACGCACUUCUUGGGCGUUUCCUCCCUAAACUCAAGGCCGCGCCGAUAGGCGCGGCCUUCUUUAUUUCCGGG
Nitrospirillum amazonense is the source of this 76-nucleotide small RNA. It matches the Rfam family "Makes More Granules Regulator RNA (mmgR)". Rfam says of the family: SuhB later renamed mmgR (makes more granules regulator) was a putative non-coding RNA found multiple times in the Agrobacterium tumefaciens genome and related alpha-proteobacteria. Other non-coding RNAs uncovered in the same analysis include: speF, ybhL, metA, and serC. Several studies inSinorhizobium meliloti showed that suhB element is indeed a non-coding RNA:firstly it was detected on Northern blot and called Sm8RNA, secondly in an RNAseq study referred to as SmelC689. NCBI's taxonomy places the organism in Bacteria, Pseudomonadati, Pseudomonadota, Alphaproteobacteria, Rhodospirillales, Azospirillaceae. The record is from Rfam.